UACGGAGGGAGCUAGCGUUGUUCGGAAUUACUGGGCGUAAAGCGCGCGUAGGCGGCUUUGUAAGUUAGAGGUGAAAGCCCGGAGCUCAACUCCGGAACUGCCUUUAAAACUGCAUCGCUUGAAUCCAGGAGAGGUGAGUGGAAGUUCCGAGUGUAGAGGUGAAAUUCGUAGAUAUUCGGAAGAACACCAGUGGCGAAGGCGGCUCACUGGAGCUGGUAUUGACGCUGAGGUGCGAAAGCGUGGGGAGCAACAGG
This 254-nucleotide ribosomal RNA is filed under the name uncultured bacterium. RNAcentral describes it as "partial 16S ribosomal RNA". It matches the Rfam family "Bacterial small subunit ribosomal RNA", at positions 524 to 775 of the family's 1533-position model. The record is from RNAcentral.